This 250-nucleotide ribosomal RNA is filed under the name uncultured bacterium. Its description in RNAcentral is "partial 16S ribosomal RNA". It matches the Rfam family "Bacterial small subunit ribosomal RNA", at positions 30 to 283 of the family's 1533-position model. The record is from RNAcentral.
AUUGAACGCUGGCGGCAUGCUUUACACAUGCAAGUCGAACGCGAAAGGGGGCAACCCUGAGUAGAGUGGCGCACGGGUGAGUAACGCAUCGGAACAUACCCAGUAGUGGGGGACAACCAGUCGAAAGACUGGCUAAUACCGCAUACGACCUACGGGUGAAAGCGGGGGACCGCAAGGCCUCGCGCUAUUGGAAUGGCCGAUGUCUGAUUAGCUAGUUGGCGGGGUAAAAGCCCACCAAGGCGACGAUCAG